This 497-nucleotide ribosomal RNA is filed under the name uncultured bacterium. RNAcentral's name for it is "partial 16S ribosomal RNA". It matches the Rfam family "Bacterial small subunit ribosomal RNA", at positions 28 to 507 of the family's 1533-position model. The record is from RNAcentral.
GACGAACGCUGGCGGCGUGCCUAAUACAUGCAAGUCGAGCGAUGAAGAUUGGUGCUUGCACCAAUUUGAAGAGCAGCGAACGGGUGAGUAACGCGUGGGGAAUCUGCCUUUGAGCGGGGGACAACAUUUGGAAACGAAUGCUAAUACCGCAUAACACCUUUAAACAUAAGUUUUAAGUUUGAAAGAUGCAAUUUCAUCCCUCAAAGAUGAUCCCGCGUUGUUUUAGCUAGUUGGUGAGGUAAAGGCUCACCAAGGCGAUGAUACAUAGUCGACCUGGGAAGGUGAUCGGCCACAAUGGGACUGGGACACGGCCCAAGCUUCUUCGGGAGGCAGCAGUAGGGAAACUUUGGCAAAUGGGGAAAGGCUGGCCGAGCAAAGCCGGGUGGGUGAAGAAGGGUUUCGGAUCGUAAAACUCUGUUGGUAGGGAAGAAAGUUGGUGAGGGUGGAAAGCUCAUCAAGUGACGGUAACUAACCAGAAAGGGACGGCUAACUACGUG